AUGAACGCUGGCGGCGUGCCUAAUACAUGCAAGUCGAGCGAACGGACGAGAAGCUUGCUUCUCUGAUGUUAGCGGCGGACGGGUGAGUAACACGUGGAUAACCUACCUAUAAGCCUGGGAUAACUUCGGGAAACCGUAGCUAAUACCGGAUAAUAUUUUGAACCGCAUGGUUCAAAAGUGAAAGACGGUCUUGCUGUCACUUAUAGAUGGAUCCGCGCUGCAUUAGCUAGUUGGUAAGGUAACGGCUUACCAAGGCAACGAUGCAUAGCCGACCUGAGAGGGUGAUCGGCCACACUGGAACUGAGACACGGUCCAGACUCCUACGGGAGGCAGCAGUAGGGAAUCUUCCGCAAUGGGCGAAAGCCUGACGGAGCAACGCCGCGUGAGUGAUGAAGGUCUUCGGAUCGUAAAACUCUGUUAUUAGGGAAGAACAUAUGUGUAAGUAACUGUGCACAUCUUGACGGUACCUAAUCAGAAAGCCACGGCUAACUACGUG
Molecule: ribosomal RNA, 496 nt
Filed under: uncultured bacterium
Lineage: Bacteria
Description: partial 16S ribosomal RNA
Rfam family: Bacterial small subunit ribosomal RNA
Source: RNAcentral